UAAAAGUGGCGUACGGGUGAGUAACACGUGGAUAAUCUGCCUUUUAGUGGGGAAUACCGUUGGGAAACCGACGACAAUACCGCAUAAGCUCGAAAGAGGAAAGCAGCAAUGCGCUGAAAGAGGAGUCCGCGGUCGAUUAGUUAGUUGGCAGGGUAAAAGCCUACCAAGACUGUGAUCGAUAGCCGGCCUGAGAGGGCACACGGCCACACUGGCACUGAAACACGGGCCAG
Molecule: ribosomal RNA, 230 nt
Filed under: uncultured bacterium
Lineage: Bacteria
Description: partial 16S ribosomal RNA
Rfam family: Bacterial small subunit ribosomal RNA
Source: RNAcentral